CUUCCUGGAAGAGUCACAAGGUUUUGGCAUCUGUCCAGAUUCAAAAGUUCAAGCCUAUUCAAAUGUUCGAUUGAUGAUGGUAGCUCUUUUAUAGCCGUUCCGUUCAAGUGAAGCUCCCUUAAGUUUUCCAUAUUCUCCAAGAUUUCUGGAAAGUACUGUAAUUGUGAACAGUCAGAGCCAAAGAGAGAUUUUAGGGAUUUGAACUCCCGAAUGCUUGUUGGCAGACUCUCAAGGUUUUUGCACUCUCGCAAACAUAAGGUAUCAAAUUCAGAGGCAUGCUCAAUGGGUAGUAGGUUGAUUGUCUGACCCUUUAAACAAAGCUUUCGGUGUUCCACGUUCCUCUGACAUUCCACGCAGCUAGCAUCCACAUCCUCAGUCUGUACUAUUGGAUCUUGGGAGUAUAUAGGUUGAAGCCCACACUUGAGCACCUUAAAAUGAUUGCGAGAGCCCAUAAAUAGAGCCCCAAGAAACAUGGAUGGAUUGGUGUGACAGCUCUCCAGAAUAGCAGCCUUGGGAUAGAAUAUCACCCACAUUUGUUCUGAUGCACCUCCAUCAUGGUAGCAUUUACAAGUAGUGCGAAAACUGAGAGGUUGCACACACAGGGGAGAAAAUCCAUAUCCAUCAUGCAAUGACAAUUGACAUUCUAACUCAGUGGAGAUUGAAGAUUCAGCUUCAAAUAAAUCGUCAGAUUCAUUCAGGGCUUCGUCACCAGAUUCAUUCUCCGAAAAUGUAUGUGCAAAAUCAUUUUCUGGUAUGUCCUCACAUUCAUCGAGUGGAGCAUAAACACAGCAUAUAGCAAUUCCCAAGAAGUCAUUAUUUUCAUAACAACUCUGAGGAAGGUCCAUUGUGAUCUGAUAUCCCUCUCUCUGUUUCCUUAUCCACUUGGGAAUUCCACUGCUUCCCGGAACAACAAUACAGAUUCCAUGGCCAAUGAAGUCAGAAUCAGGGAGAAAUACUUCAUUUGAACUGCUCUUGUAUUUCAAAUCCUGUACAAAGGGACAAUGUAAAUCCAGUGGGUCUGUGCCAUUAUGUGAGUUUUUAUGAGAGAGUUUGUUAUCGGUUUUUGAUAAAUUGAUUCCCAGUUUUAACUUUCUUUGAUCUAUGCUCCUGAAUCUACUUAAUAUCCCUUUUAGAUGACGGAUAAUCAAUCAACAUGAAAGUGAGUGACAAGAUUAAGUGUGAAAACUGGAAGUGAGGGGAAACUGAAACUGAAAGUGAGUAGAAUAAGCAGAUCUGUUCUUCACUUGCAGUAGCUUCUUCUCCAUUCAGAUUCAGAGAUCUUAGAAUUGUAGCUUCAACUUAACUCUCAGAAUCUUAAAGACAAAGUUCGCUCAAGUUUCAAAAACUCACAGAAAAGUUUCUCCUCAUGUUUCUUUUAAUCCCAUGAGGCGACAGACAUGUAGCACACACUUACUGGCUUUUUGCCAUGCAAGUUUCAAGGUGGAGUGUCCAAUGAACUAAAACAUUCCCUCAAAUCCUAGUGGAAAUUCACACUAUAAAUUUCAGAAUUUGCUAAAGAAAAGUUUAAUUAAUUUUACCCAUGACUAAAAAGGCAUGUGAGGGCAUUUUAACAGCCUAUUAAUUAUUAUAUUAAACUACUAUUCUCAUUACUCAAACUCAUGAUCCUUCACAUCAUCACCACAUUUUGAAGAGACUUUCGUCAACUCUUCUAUGAAUGAAUUGAUGUUUAAGGAGGCAUAAUAAACUUUUAAUUGAAUUUAACAUUAUUUCUAUCCUUAUACUCAUCUUAAAUUAUUAUUUUUUUAUAUUCUUAUCAAAAUAAAUAAAAACUUAACAAAAAAAAUAAAGAUUUCAAAACAAACUUUAUUAGCAACACUUAUUUACAUCAUUCUUUAAAAAAAUAUUCAAAAACAAAUUUUUUUACAAUUAAAAAAAUGUGAUUUAAAAUUUAUAAAGAACAAAAUUUUUAGAAAAAUAUGGUAGUUGUUUGAAAUAAAAUAAAAGGGAAAUCAAAAUUCUUAGUAAAUGAAUAGUCAAAAAAACUGUAACAGAUAUGCAAAUGAGAAAAAAAAUAAUCAAUGUCAAGAAUGAGAAACAAUUUUUUCUUUUUUCUUUUCUUAUUUUAUGCAUUCAUUACCAUUUUUAAAUUAAUAAAUAAAGUUUUUCUCACAAAAUUUUAAAAUGGCAUGUAUGCUUCAAAAUUUAUAUAUUGUUAUUAGAUUUUUAUAAAUUUCAUUUAUAUCCUCAAAAUUAGAAUCAUUAAACUCACAUUUUAAAAUAAGAUAUCAAAUAGUUAUUUUUUCAUCCUUUAGCAAUAUCAAACGUUUUUUGUACUUUAAUAAAAAAAAAAAAAGCUAUUUUUUCUAAUUAAUGACUAUUUUGCAUAAUAUUUGUAUAAAUUAUUUAAUAUAUAAAUAUUACUUAUUUAAUAGUUUUUUUUUAAUUUCUUAUAGAAAGAGUAGUGCAUACAUAAUUCAAACAAAAGGUAAUUUUAUAUUGCAAAAAAGUUUGUGGAAAAAGGAAAUUUGAACAAGGAUUGAAAUUUAUAGAACCAUAUUGGACACCUAGUUCUAGGUUUGUCCCUUUCCAACAAUCAUGACUUGGUAGUAGCCUAAUCUCAAAUCUAACUUUGUCAGGCCCUUCCUUUACUAAGUCGAUCAAACAAGUUGUUAACAAACAGAAUAAGAUAUUUUUUCUUUUCACCUUGUUGAGUCUUCGAUAAUCUAUACACAUUCAGAGGGAUCCAUUAUGUUUCUUUUAGAAUAAUAUUGAUGUGGCAUAUGAAGCUUUAGUUGGUUGGAUGUAUCCCAUGUUAUGCAACUUCUUAAGUUGUUUCCUUUGUUCUUCUAAAUUAGGUAGUAUCAUCCUAUGGGACCUCCAUGGCAAGGGGCUUAGCUCCUGGCUCUAAGUCAAUCUUGUGCUCCCCUUCCCUUAUUUGUGUGAGUUUCUUAUGUAAUUUUAAUGACAUCUAAGGAUGGCAAAGUUUGAUACAAUUUUUCAACCAAACUUGAAGAAGCGUUAUUAGUGGGUUUGGAAAGUUCUAAUCUAUUUUACUUUUUAAAACAAAGUAAAAUAGAGAACAAUUUUUAAAGAACAAUUAGGAGUUGUUUUUACCAAUUUUUAAAAAACAAAAAAUAUAUAAACUCAUUUGACUAUAUUCUUUUAAACUUGUUUUUAAAUUAAAGAAUAAAAAAUAAUUUUUUAAAAUAAGUUUCAAAAAAUAUGACCAAGUCGGGGUUUAUAAUAUUAAAGAGGAAAAAAGUUAAUUUAAGAUUUUGCAUGCAGGUAAACAUCAGGCUGUAAAACUGGUUUACUAAGACACUCAUUUUAUUUAUAUAUUCUUCUAUGUGCAUGCAUUGACCAUGUGGUUAAGAUGUGUUGCACCGAAAUCUAAUGAUUAGCUGUAAAACGUUAAUUAAUCCGAGCAUACAUUUUUCUUUAUUUGUUUUGGUUUCUUUACAAGAAUGCUUCUUUAUGUAUUCUUGUUGAACCUAUAAAAUAUCAUCCAUAGACAUUCUUUUUGAAUAAUUAAGAACCGAGAUUUCUAAUUGGUUGGUUAUUAUUUUUAUCUGUAAGGAAUCGAAAUUUAGCUCAUCAUUUAUCGUAUGAAUAUCAUAUAGAUUUGAAAAGAAUUUCACACUUAGAAAUGUACCUCUCAGAACAUUUGAAGUUAAGAUGUUUUUGUCUUCUUCAAUUUGAUUGCUCAUUACGACUUUGAGAUUCAAAUUCCUUUUGAUGUAAAAAACAAACUUAAAUAAAUAAAAAGAAUUAAAAGAUAAGCAGAGCAAAAAAUUAAAUAGUGUGAGUUGGAAUGAAUAAAGUUUUAAUCAAAAUUGGAAAUUAAGGUGAAACAUCCUAAAUUAUAUACAAAAGCUCAUAUAAUAUUACACCAUAAUUUCUCUAAAUUAAUCUUAACCUUUUAGUGCAGUGUGUACAGUCAUUGCUUGUUUGUGGAUUAGAAUUAGUAUCUUCUGCUGCUGAUCUGGUAUCACAACUUCUCUGCUCAUCAUUGUACUCUAUCAUUGUCUGAUGGUCGCGCCUGGUGGCUUCUGUGUUGUCACAGCUUCUCCGAGCAUCACUACUGGUAUCUUCUGGGAUGUUUCUGUUUAUAACAUCAGGUGUAUAUAUAAGAUGGAACCCACACUCUUUCACUUCGACUGGUGUACCGUCCAAGCUAUGAAAUGAAGCCUUCAAACGUCUCCAUUCGUUCGACCAAUACUGGUUGCCAAUAACAACCUUGGGAUAAUAAGUCACACACAUUUGACUUGAUUCACCGCAAAUUCGGCAGCAAUAAGACCGGACAUCAUCCACGUGACAGCAUUCAGAUUGAUCACCACAGAUAUUGAGUUCGCAAUUCAACCAACCACAAGCCAUAGGAAUAAAAACAGAGUAUAAAGCAAAUCCUAAGAAGCCAUCUUUUCUGUACAAAUCCGUAGAAAGCUCUAUUGUUAUUUGAGAUCCUUUUUUUGGCUGGCUUAUCCACUCUGGAAUUCCAUCAUUUCCCGAAAUAACAACUCUGAUUGCCUUGUUCCAAUAGGAGCCGCAUUCAAAUUCCUGCACAGAAGUACAGUGUUAAUACUCUGUUCAUAAGGAAAAAGGGCUGAAUGUUAUGAAAAUCAUACCUCAAUCAUUGAUUUGAAGCAUUUGAACAGAGAAAAACCAAGUUGACUUGAUGGACUUGAUAAAGUUUCCAAGCAUGUGCAACUGUGGACAUCUAGAACUCGUAAACUUGGUGGAAACUCUGGAACUUGUAGAAGCCCCUGGCAGUGACUCAAUUCAAGGACUCUCAGUUUAGAAAGUUGAAUGAUGCCUGCAAGUAUGCUACUAAAACAGUCCUUGCUUAGAUUUAGACCUGAAGCGUACAAACCCUCUAAACAUUGCAAACUCCUCAGGUUCUCGGGAAAUCUCUCAAGUUUUGUACAGAAACUGACAUUUAGAAUUUUGAGAGUUUUCAAAUUACAAAAGGCCUCUGGAAGACUCACAAGGUAUUGCGAGAUUCAAAUAUUGAAGCCCUCUUAGAUAUUGAAUUGAUGCUGGUAGUUCUUCGAUAGCAGUUCCAUCUAAAUGAAGCUCUCUUAUAUUUUCCACAUCCUCGAGGAUUUCCGGAAAGCUCCUUAAUCGUGAACAGCCUGAGCAGAAGAGAGUUGUAAGGGAUUUCAACUCACAUAUGCUACUGGGAAGAAGCUCAAGGUUUUUGCAUUCUCGCAAACAUAACCUAUUAAGUUUAUGGGGACACUCAACAGUGGGUAGUUCAUUGAUGGCAUUUCACUUUAAACAAAGCUUCCAUAGGGAUUGCACAUCCUCUUGACAUUCCCGGCAAACGGUGGAUAUCAUUGCUUUACCAUGGUUCUGUUCAUGAUCAUGGGCAUAUAUAAGAUGGAUCCCACACUCUUCUACUUUCACUGCUUUACCUCUCAAGUAGCCACAAAAUGAAGCCGUCAACUGCCUCCAUUUAUUUGAGUGGUACUUCUCCUCAAUCUCAUGCUUAGGAUAAUAAAUCAUCCACAUACAAGGUACAACAUAGACGUGAAAUGAGGGAUAAAACUGGAGUUUAUCCACAAACUGAAUUUCAUGACCACGCAAAGUUAAACCAUACUCGAAGUAAGUUGCACCAUUCUCCAGUGUCUCCUCAGAUUCAUUAUCCAGUGGAUAAUAGACACAGUACAAAACAAAACCCAACAAGUCGUCAUUUUUAUACCAAUUUUGAGGAAGCUUUGCUACUACUUCAGCUCCCUUUUUGUGAUGGCUUAUCCAAUCUGGAAUUCCACAACUUUCUGAAAUAAUAAGAUUUACUCGGGCAAAAGGUUUUUCUAAAGGAUAAAUCUUGCAUUCCAAAUCCUGCAGAAAAUUUAAUUAACACUUAAAUCCCCAUGUCUCCACAAAAAAAGUUUUGGUCUAUGAAUAUCAUACCUGAAUCAAUGAUUUGAAGCAGUUGAAUAGAGAAGACCAGAGUAGACCUGAAGAAGUUUCCAGCCGUUUGCACAAAUGUAUAUCUAAGACACGCAAACUGGAUGGAAGUGCUGGAAUUUGUCGAAGCUCUUGACAGUUACCCAAGACAAGGAGUCUCAGCCUAGAAAGUUGAUUGAUCCCAGCAGGUAUGCUCCUAAAAAGAUUCCCGAAUAGAAAUAAUUCUUGCAGAGAUGAUAGCUGGCAAAUUUCAGUGGGGAUUCCUCCUUCAUCUAUACCACACACACGUAGAUCUACAACUUCCAAGGAGUACAAGCAGCAAAUAUCACUCAGGACUACUCCUUGCAUUAGCUUUGAGUAAAUAAGAUCUAACUCCUUUAAGGAGCAUAAACCUGACAAAGAAAGCAAUUGGCAACAUCUUGAAUUUAAGCCCCUAGCACGGAGACACUUCAAGCUUUGCAGCCUCCCCAGGUUUUGUGGCAAUUUGUGGAGUUUUGAACAGUAAUUCACAUUGAGAUCUUCAAGAAAGCGUAAAUUACAAAUGCUUUCUGGAAGAGUCACAAGGUUUUUGCACCUCUCAAGAUUCAAAACUUGAAGCCUAUUCAAAUGUUCGAUUGAAGAUGGUAGCUCUUUUAUGGCCGUUCCGUUCAAGUGAAGCUGCCUUAAGUUUUCCAUAUUCUCCAAGAUUUCUGGGAAGUACUGUAAUUGUGAACAGUCAGAGCAAAAGAGAGAUUUUAGGGAUUUGAACUCCCAAAUGCUUGUUGGUAGACUCUCAAGGUUUUUGCACUCUCGCAAACAUAAGGUAUCAAAUUCAGAGGCACACUCAAUGGGUGGUAGGCUGAUUGUCUGACCCUUUAAACAAAGCUUUCGGUGUUCCACAUUCCUCUGACAUUCAGCGCAGCUAGCAUCCACAUCAUCAGUCUGUACUAUUGGAUCUUGGGCGUAUAUAGGUUCAAGCCCACACUUGAGCACCUUAAAAUGAUUGCGACAGCCCAUAAAUAUAGCCCCAAGAAACAUGGAUGGAUUGGUGUGACAGCUCUCCAGAAUAGCAGCCUUGGGAUAGAAUAUCACCCACAUUUGUUCUGAUCCACCUCCAUCAUGGUAGCAUUUACAAGUAGUGCGAAAACUGAGACGUUGCGCACACAGGGUAGAAAAUCCAUAUCUAUCAUGUAAUGACAAUUUACAUUCUAACCCAGUGGAGAUUGAAGAUUCAGCUUCAAGUAAAUCGUCAUAUUCAUUUAGGGCUUCGUCACCAGAUUCAUUCUCCGAUGUAUGUGCAAAAUCAUUUUCUGGUAUGUCCUCACAUUCAUCGUGUGGAGCAUAAACACAGCAUAUAGCAAUUCCCAAGAAGUCAUUAUUUUCGUAACAAUUCUGAGGAAGGUCCAUUGUGAUAUGAUUUCCCUCUCUCUGAUUCCUUAUCCACUUGGGAAUUCCACAGCUUCCCGGAACAACAAUACAGACUCCAUUGCCAAUGAAGUCAGAAUCACGGAGAAAUACUUCAUUUGAACUGCUCUUGUAUUUCAAAUCCUGUACAAAAGGACAAUGUAAAUCCUGUGGGUCUGUGCCAUUAUGUGAGUUUUUAUGAGAGAGUUUGUUAUCAGUUUUUGAUAAAUUGAUUCCCAGUUUUAACUUUCUUUGAUCUAUGCUCCUGAAUCUACUUAAUAUCCCUUUUAGAUGACGGAUUAUCAAUCAACAUGAAAGUGAGUGACAAGAUUAAGUGUGAAAACUGGAAGUGAGGGGAAACUGAAACUGAAAGUGAGUAGAAUAACCAGAUCUCUUCUUCACUUGCAGUAGCUUCUUCUCCAUUCAGAUACAGAGAUCUUAGAAUUGUAGCUUCAACUUAACUCUCAGAAUCUUAAAGACAAAGUUCGCUCAAGUUUCAAAAACUCACACAAAAAUUUCUCCUCAUGUUUCUCUUAAUCCUAUGAGGCGAGAGACAUGUAGCACACACUUAUUGGCUUUUUUACAUGCAAGUUUCAAGGUGGAGCGUCUAAUGAACUAAAACAUUCCCUCAAAUCCCAGUGGAAAUUCACACUAGAAAUUGCAGAAUUUGCUAAGGAAAAGUUUAAUUCAUUUAAUCCAUGAAUAAAAAAGUAUGUGAGAGCAUUUUAACAUCCUAAUACUUAUUAUAUUAAACUAUAAUUCUCAUUAUUUAAACUCAUGAUCCUUCACUUCAUCACCAAAUUUUGAAGACACUUUUGGCAUCUCUUCCAUGAAUUAAUUGAUGUUUAAGAAGGUAUAAUAAACUUUUAAUUGAAUUUAACAUUAUUUCUAUCCUAAUACUCAUCUUAAACUCUGUUUUUUUUUUUUUUAUACUCUUAUCAAAACAAAUAAAAACUUAACAAAAAAAUAAAGAUUUCAAUUACUCCGUGUUCAAAAGGGAAAAUGGCUAAAUGUCAUGAAAAUCAUACCUCAAUAGUUGAUUUAAAGCAUUUGAACAGAGAAACACCAAGUAGACAUGAUGGACUUGAUAAAACUUCCAAGCAUGUGCAACUGUGGACAUCUAGAACUCGUAAACUUGGUGGAAGCUCUGGAACUUGUAGAAGCCCCUGGCAGUGACUCAAUUCAAGGACUCUCAGUUUAGAAAGUUGAAUGAUGCCUGCAAGUAUGCUACUAAAACAGUCCUUGCUUAGAUUUAGACCUGAAGCGUACAAACCCUCUAAACAUUGCAAACUCCUCAGGUUCUCGGGAAAUCUCUCAAGUUUUGUACAGAAACUGACAUUUAGAAUUUUGAGCGUUUUCAACUUACAAAUGGCCUCUGGAAGACUCACAAGGUUGCUGCAAUCUGCAAGAUUCAAAUGUUGAAGCCCUCUUAGAUAUUGAAUUGAUGCUGGUAGUUCUUCUAUAGCAGUUCCAUCUAAAUGAAGCUCUCUUAUAUUUUCCACAUCCUCGAGGAUUUCCGGAAAGCUCCUUAAUCGUGAACAGCCUGAGCAGAAGAGAGUUGUAAGGGAUUUCAACUCACAUAUGCUACUGGGAAGAAGCUCAAGGUUUUUGCAUUCUCGCAAACAUAACCUAUUAAGUUUAUGGGGACACUCAAUAGUGGGUAGUUCAUUGAUGGCAUUUCCCUUUAAACAAAGCUUCCAUAGGGAUUGCACAUCCUCUUGACAUUCCCGGCAAACGGUGGAUAUCAUUGCUUUACCAUGGUUCUGUUCAUGAUCAUGGGCAUAUAUAAGAUGGAUCCCACACUCUUCUACUUUCACUGCUUUACCUCUCAAGUAGCCACAAAAUGAAGCCGUCAACUGCCUCCAUUUAUUUGAGUGGUACUUCUCCCCAAUCUCAUACUUAGGAUAAUAAAUCAUCCACAUAUAAGGUACAACAUUGCCGUAAAAUGAGGGAUAAAACUGGAGUUUAUCCACAAACUGAAUUUCAUGACCACGCAAAGUCAAACCAUACUCGAAGUAAGUUGCAUCAUUCUCCAGUGUCUCCUCAGAUUCAUUAUCAAGUGGAUAAUAGACAGAGUACAAAACAAAACCCAACAAGUCGUCAUUUUUAUACCAAUUUUGAGGAAGCUUUGCUACUACUUCAGCUCCCUUUUUGUGAUGGCUUAUCCAAUUUGGAAUUCCACAACUUUCUGAAAUAAUAAGAUUUACUCGGGCAAAAGGUUUUUCUAAAGGAUAAAUCUUGCAUUCCAAAUCCUGCAGAAAAUUUAAUUAACACGUAAAUCCCCAUGUCUCCACAAAAAAAGUUUUGGUCUAUGAAUAUCAUACCUGAAUCAAUGAUUUGAAGCAGUUGAAUAGAGAAGACCAGAGUAGACCUGAAGAAGUUUCCAGCCGUUUGCACGAUUGUACAUCUAAGACACGCAAACUGGAUGGAAGCACUGGAAUUUGUCGAAGCUCUUGACAGUUACUCAAGACAAGGAGUCUCAGCCUAGAAAGUUGAUUGAUCCCAGCAGGUAUGCUCCUAAAAAGAUUCCCGAUUAGAAGUAAUUCUUGCAGAGAUGAUAGCUGGCAAAUUUCAGUGGGGAUUCCUCCUUCAUCUAUACCGCAGAAAGAUAGAUCUAACACUUCCACGGAGUACAAGCAGCAAAUAUCACUCAGGACUACUCCUUGCAUUAGCUUUGAGUAAAUAAGAUCCAACUCCUUUAAGGAGCAUAAACCUGACAAAGAAAGCAAUUGGCAACAUCUUGAAUUUAAGCCCCUAGCACGGAGACGCUUCAAGCUUUGCAGCCUCCCCAGGUUUUGUGGCAAUUUGUGGAGUUUUGAACAGAAAUUGACAUUGAGAUCCUCAAGAAAGCGUAAAUUACAAAUGCUUUCUGGAAGAGUCACAAGGUUUUUGCACCUCCCCAGAUUCAAAACUUGAAGCCUAUUCAAACGUUCGAUUGAAGAUGGUAGCUCUUUUAUAGCCGUUCCAUUCAAGUGAAGCUGCCUUAAGUUUUCCAUAGUCUCCAAGAUUUCUGGGAAGUACUGUAAUUGUGAACAGUCAGAGCAAAAGAGAGAUUUUAGGGAUUUGAACUCCCAAAUGAUUGUUGGUAGACUCUCAAGGUUUUUGCACUCUCGCAAACAUAAGGUAUCAAAUUCAGAGGCACGCUCAAUGGGUGGUAGGCUGAUUGUCUGACACUUUAAACAAAGCUUUCGGUGUUCCACAUUCCUCUGACAUUCAGCGCAGCUAGCUUCCACAUCCUCAGUCUGUACUAUUGGAUCUUGGGCGUAUAUAGGUUCAAGCCCACACUUGAGCACCUUAAAAUGAUUGCGACAGCCCAUAAAUAUAGCCCCAAGAAAAAUGGAUGGAUUGGUGUGACAGCUCUCCAGAAUAGCAGCCUUGGGAUAGAAUAUCACCCACAUUUGUUCUGAUC
This 10660-nucleotide long non-coding RNA is filed under the name Vitis vinifera (wine grape). Its description in RNAcentral is "long non-coding RNA (VVIN_LNC006323)". Lineage: Eukaryota; Viridiplantae; Streptophyta; Magnoliopsida; Vitales; Vitaceae. The record is from RNAcentral.